UAAUCUUCAGAUUUCCCUGAGUGGAGAAAAAAGUAAAUUCAGAGUUUCUGUAUCUUCUUUGUUGCUCAAGAUCACAAAUUAAUAAGGGGCAGAAGUAGGACUCAAACCCAGGCCCACAGGUAUCUAAUUCACUGGUCUUUCCUCACCCUACCCUCCUCCCUGCCUCAUUCUUCUCCCUGUCUUGCAGUCACGCUACUCUUUGCCAAAGUCUGGAGAUGAUUUUCAGAGGAAUCUACCCUGAAGGAGAAAUAUACUUUGAUUUCCAAUUUGAUUGAAUGUACAGCUAAAUUAACUUGCUGGAGAAAAUCUAUUUUCAGUGUAUAUUUUUAACAAUUAACAAACAUAGUGCAUAUGUUAGAAACAAAAAAUAAACCAUAAACAAAGACAAUGGAAGAGGUGAAGUAAACAGGCCUUUCUCUCUCUCUAACCCAAUUGGGAGUCCAUUGCUAUCCAUCUUAUUAAGGAUGGUUACAGAGAGGAGACUCAUCCAUAUUUUUUUGUCUCUCUCUCUGUCUGGAGACAGUUUUACACAUGCUUUGCUUAAUGGACAUUUCCCCAUGGUCAAAAUUAUGUUCCAUUCACUGUCAUUUCCCCA
RNAcentral lists this long non-coding RNA (595 nucleotides) under Homo sapiens (human). RNAcentral's name for it is "HSALNT0390694". Lineage: Eukaryota; Metazoa; Chordata; Mammalia; Primates; Hominidae. The record is from RNAcentral.